CGGGGUGAGUAACGCGUGGAGAACCUGCCGUAUACUGGGGGAUAACACUUAGAAAUAGGUGCUAAUACCGCAUAAGCGCACAGCUUCGCAUGAAGCAGUGUGAAAAACUCCGGUGGUAUACGAUGGAUCCGCGUCUGAUUAGCUUGUUGGCGGGGUAAAGGCCCACCAAGGCGACGAUCAGUAGCCGGACUGAGAGGUUGGCCGGCCACAUUGGGACUGAGAUACGGCCCAGACUCCUACGGAAGGCAGCAG
RNAcentral lists this ribosomal RNA (252 nucleotides) under uncultured bacterium. RNAcentral describes it as "partial 16S ribosomal RNA". It matches the Rfam family "Bacterial small subunit ribosomal RNA", at positions 100 to 354 of the family's 1533-position model. The record is from RNAcentral.